GUCACUUAGGUUAUUUAAAACCAGGGGCCUUCAAAGCCCCAAACAAGAUUCCACAACUCUUAGUGUCUGAGGGCCC
This 76-nucleotide transfer RNA is filed under the name Uroplatus ebenaui. RNAcentral's name for it is "tRNA-Trp". Lineage: Eukaryota; Metazoa; Chordata; Lepidosauria; Squamata; Gekkonidae. The record is from RNAcentral.